GGAAAGGCAUGCCCCUGGGACAAAUUUCCUAGGCUCCGCAACAGGACACAGAGACUUGCUCACUGGUGGCAGAUCACUGGAACUUGAGACAGAAGACAACAGAAUGAGGGCUGCUGCUGUUGGUGUCUCGUCUGUCUUUUUCCUUUGCUGGCUGUAAAAGUUGCCGAGAUCCAACCGUGGAUCCACCACUCCCGAGUGAAGAAAUCCCACACUGAGACCAACACUGAAGGCCAGAAAAGACAAUGCACUCAAAGCUCUGCAACUGUCACUCCGGAGGCUGAUGGGCAAUGCACAGCUGAAGACUGAGGAUCGGCCUACAUGAAGGCACUGUUUGACUAGUGACGGCUGGCACCUUCACAAGUGGCACCCGAACAGGGACCUGAGCACAGAGGACAAGGUGAAGGACGCCGCCGGAUUGUGAGCUCAGAUAAG
This 432-nucleotide long non-coding RNA is filed under the name Heterocephalus glaber (naked mole-rat). RNAcentral's name for it is "lncRNA (ENSHGLG00000050721.1)". The record is from RNAcentral. Lineage: Eukaryota; Metazoa; Chordata; Mammalia; Rodentia; Bathyergidae.